RNAcentral lists this ribosomal RNA (492 nucleotides) under uncultured bacterium. Its description in RNAcentral is "partial 16S ribosomal RNA". It matches the Rfam family "Bacterial small subunit ribosomal RNA", at positions 29 to 507 of the family's 1533-position model. The record is from RNAcentral.
AGUGAACGCUGGCGGUAGGCCUAACACAUGCAAGUCGAACGGCAGCACAGUAAGAGCUUGCUCUUACGGGUGGCGAGUGGCGGACGGGUGAGGAAUACAUCGGAAUCUACUUUUUCGUGGGGGAUAACGUAGGGAAACUUACGCUAAUACCGCAUACGACCUACGGGUGAAAGCAGGGGAUCUUCGGACCUUGCGCGAUUGAAUGAGCCGAUGUCGGAUUAGCUAGUUGGCGGGGUAAAGGCCCACCAAGGCGACGAUCCGUAGCUGGUCUGAGAGGAUGAUCAGCCACACUGGAACUGAGACACGGUCCAGACUACUACGGGAGGCAGCAGUGGGGAAUAUUGGACAAUAGGCGCAAGCCUGAUCCAGCCAUACCGCGUGGGUGAAGAAGGCCUUCGGGUUGUAAAGCCCUUUUGUUGGGAAAGAAAAGCAGCAGGUUAAUACCCCGCUGUUCUGACGGUACCCAAAGAAUAAGCACCGGCUAACUUCGUG